RNAcentral lists this ribosomal RNA (433 nucleotides) under uncultured bacterium. RNAcentral describes it as "partial 16S ribosomal RNA". It matches the Rfam family "Bacterial small subunit ribosomal RNA", at positions 29 to 507 of the family's 1533-position model. The record is from RNAcentral.
AACGAACGCUGGCGGCAGGCCUAACACAUGCAAGUCGAGCGAGGACUUCGGUUCUAGCGGCGGACGGGUGAGUAACGCGUGGGAAUGUGCCCUUCUCUACGGAAUAGCCCUGGGAAACUGGGAGUAAUACCGUAUACGCCCUUUUGGGGAAAGAUUUAUCGGAGAAGGAUCAGCCCGCGUUGGAUUAGGUAGUUGGUGGGGUAAUGGCCUACCAAGCCGACGAUCCAUAGCUGGUUUGAGAGGAUGAUCAGCCACACUGGGACUGAGACACGGCCCAGACUCCUACGGGAGGCAGCAGUGGGGAAUCUUAGACCAUGGGGGCAACCCUGAUCUAGCCAUGCCGCGUGAGUGAUGAAGGCCUUAGGGUUGUAAAGCUCUUUCAGCUGGGAAGAUAAUGACGGUACCAGCAGAAGAAGCCCCGGCUAACUCCGUG